RNAcentral lists this ribosomal RNA (756 nucleotides) under Crossidium crassinervium. RNAcentral describes it as "eukaryotic LSU rRNA". It matches the Rfam family "Eukaryotic large subunit ribosomal RNA", at positions 31 to 780 of the family's 3401-position model. Lineage: Eukaryota; Viridiplantae; Streptophyta; Bryopsida; Pottiales; Pottiaceae. The record is from RNAcentral.
UUUUUUAGCAUAUCACUAAGCGGAGGAGAAGAAACUAACCAGGAUUUCCCUAGUAAUGGCGAACGAACCGGAAAGAGCCCAGCUUGAAAAUCCCGGCGCUGCGCGCCCGGAGUUGUAGUCUGGAGACGCAUCCUCUGCAACGCACCGGACCCAAGUUCCCUGGAAAGGGACGUCAGAGAGGGUGACAACCCCGUCGAGUCUGGACCGUGUUGCUCCACGAGGUGUGGUCGUCGAGUCGGGCUGUUUGGGAAUGCAGCCCUAAGUGGGAGGUAAAUUCCUUCCAAGGCUAAAUAUUGGCAAGAGACCGAUAGCGAACAAGUACCGCGAGGGAAAGAUGAAAAGGACUUUGAAAAGAGAGUUAAAAAGUGCUUGAAAUUGCUGGGAGGGAAGCGAAUGGAAGCUGCGGGUGCGCCCCGGUUGGAUGUGGAACGGCCUUCAAAAGCUGGUCCGCCGCUCAACGCGGGGCGCUGGUCAGCGUGGGCCAUCGCGGCGGGACAAGAGCGGGAUGUAGUUUCCCGCCUAUGCCGUUGCGGUGGCCGAGGAACGAAGCGCGCGAGAUCCGUCUCGUGGGACUUGUCCCAACUGCGCGCUCGGGACGCUGGCGUAUUGAGCUCUUCAUCCGACCCGUCUUGAAACACGGACCAAGGAGUCUAACAUGUAUGCGAGCCGGUGGGCGGCAAACCCAUUGAGGCGCAAGGAAACUGACAGGUGGGACCCCCCUAAAAAGGGAGCACCAUCGACCGACCGUGAUCUUCU